AACAUGUAUAAGCUGUUAUGGGAUAAGGCUCUUCACUUAUUGCUGUUCCACUUCACAUUGCUAAAUAUUCUUCAAGCUAGAGAGAGGAAGAAUAUCUCAGUGGUCUCUGGUGAAGUGCCCACUGGCUGUGUGCUCAGAUGCUGCAUGCCCAGGAGCACCAUUGUUGUACUUACAUGGGCUGUCUGAACAACAUCACCUGUGUGCACUACUUUUAAAAUAUCCUGAAGAGAAUGUGCUUAGCAGUGGUAUAUGCGCAGGGCAGACAUUAGUGAUCAGAUGGUAGAUAUGCAGCUCACUGAAUACACAGCUUUACCCAAUGUUAUGAUGAGCUCAUAUCCCUUCGAACAUUAUUCAGGUGCAUUUUGAGAGGACAACCUCAUGAUCUUUAUGUAAGUGUGAAGAAAUCUCGUGCAUUCCGUAUAGUCA
Molecule: long non-coding RNA, 426 nt
Filed under: Numida meleagris (helmeted guineafowl)
Lineage: Eukaryota; Metazoa; Chordata; Aves; Galliformes; Numididae
Description: lncRNA (ENSNMEG00000016236.1)
Source: RNAcentral